Molecule: unclassified non-coding RNA, 173 nt
Filed under: soil metagenome
Description: partial contains 5.8S ribosomal RNA, internal transcribed spacer 2, and large subunit ribosomal RNA
Source: RNAcentral
AACCUUAUGGACCUGCGGGCGUAUACCUGCGGAGGGAUCAUCACUAAGGAUGUUAUAUCCAAGGUAUCUGGCGAUUUAUAUGAGUGUUGGUAGAGUGUUCUGCCAAUAACUAUACUACAAGAUAAAACAACCUAAAACAAUACAAAACAUAUACAACUUUUAACAACGGAUCU